CAUGCCGCGUGUGUGAAGAAGGCUUUCGGGUUGUAAAGCACUUUCAGAAGGGAAGAAAAGCCCGGGACUAAUACUCCCGUGUCUUGACGGUACCUUCAGAAGAAGCACCGGCUAACUCCGUGCCAGCACCGGCGGUGACUGAGCGGGCUGGCAAGGCGCAUA
RNAcentral lists this ribosomal RNA (162 nucleotides) under uncultured bacterium. RNAcentral describes it as "partial 16S ribosomal RNA". It matches the Rfam family "Bacterial small subunit ribosomal RNA", at positions 393 to 539 of the family's 1533-position model. The record is from RNAcentral.